UGUGUAAUGGUCGCAAAUAAAAAAAUUGGGCGUAAAAUCUCUUUCUUUUUGAGAUUUUAAAUUUGCCGCGCAAAGUUAGCGAAGACACAAACCAUGGCACGAUAAAGGGACAAUACACCUCUGCAAAUUAAAUUUCCUCUCCGUGGUGAAUUGUCUAGCGAAAGAUCGUAGGAGAAGGAGACGAGCUUUGUCACUUUGGCAACGACAGCUCUCAUUCUUUUCUUAUUGGACUACGAUCAGAGACGGAUGCAUUCUUGGUUGAUGGUGUUUUUAAUAAAACAAAUAUAAAACACAUGCAUCACCAGAAUAUAAAAGACAAACAUAAUCUGUCAUUAUCAUCAGCAUCCAUCGAUGCUUCUUUGCUUUGAGCAAAGAAAAGAAUCCAGCUCGUUACGCUUGCUACGCAAAGGUAAUUAUUUCUAGGAAAUAAUGAAAUUUUACAUUGGUCCUAACUUCGUAUUUUUUCUCAUAUGUAGAUUGUGAACAUUCGUCUAAGCCGUCAUUAUUUUCUAUUAAAUAAUACGGAUAGACAAAAUUCUACACCUAUAGUGGAUUUGAAUUCCACAAUUCCGGCGCAUGUUAGUCAGCGGAGGCCGACUAUUUCGUGCCGGAAGCCUUUUAUAUUUCUGGUCUGCCGCCUGCAGAACCAAAAAACAACAACAGUGAAGUGCAGUGCAUCUCUGGGCAGAUCACUCUUGCACCACUGUGCCGAGCCGCGCAAGGCUCUUGUACCAGAAUCGUCACUUCUCUCGUUUGCCGCUUCUAUCGUUCGCCGUCUCCACUCCGCAGCAGCAGCAUCAGCAGCAGUGCAGUGCCAGUGCCAGUGCUAGUGAAGAUGUGUAGUGCAAGUUUCUGAAUAAUAGUAUGACAAAAAUAAGUUUGUUAAAAUUAAAAGGUCAUACAAUAGUUGUACACAGAGGCAAUAAGAAAAGGGGUAAAAGCCCAAAUAAAAAGCAACAAGAUUUGCAUUUGCCGUCAAUUAAUAUAUUGACAACAACAAUUUAGUUGCCAUACAUAUAAAAUAAUAAGUAACAAAAAAGAUAACGAAAAGUAAAGAGAAAUAUCAAUUGUAAUUUGGCACUUAUUUUUUUUGCGCUAUUUUUUUUGGUUUGCUUUGUUUUGUUUACCAUUCUUGCCCUAGGCAUUAAAGGGUAUAACCAACGUGAAACACAAUAAUUAAAAAAUAUAUAAAUAAAUAAAUAAUGCAAAUAUAAUCUCGUACAUAAUAACAAGCCACCAUAAAACCCUGUGUAAAACAAUAAUAAUUAUGACAAUGUGUGUGUAUGUGAACAACCAAACAAAAAUAUAUACCCUAUAAGGUAUAUAAACAAUCAUUUUUAUCAUCAUCAUUAAAAUCAUCAUCAUCAUCAACAUCAUCAUUACCAACAGCAACAACAUCAUGAAGGCCUUCGUCGUGGAGUUCUGUCGGGUAAGUUUUAAGUCCGAGUGUCCGAAAUAAAAAUACAUAAAAGAAGUUUUAUAACAUAAAUAUUCGUACAUAUGUAAUUACAUACAUACAUACAUACAUAUGUUGGUGCCUAUUCGGCCACGCAGCAGCUGCCCACAGUUUUGCUUGCAUUGUAUUUUUUCAUACUUCUUCGCAGUUGCGAAAGCUUCAAACAGCAUAUGAGCUGUCGGCUGAUACCCUAACUUUUGGGUCAGGCCUAUACCUUUUUAGUACUGAUUUGCUUCCGCUUGUAUUGUCACUAUUAUUAUUGUUUGUUGGUACAGCACAGUGGUUUGAACAUGAUUUACAAAUAAAUUAAUAAAAAAUCAAUUUUAAUUUUGGAUAAAUAAAAUAUAAAAAGUAAAUAUAAAUAAAAUAAUAACAAUUAAAAAUAAAAUAAUAAAACUUAUAAAUAAAAUAAAUAAAAAUUAAAUAAUAAAUAUGAUUCAAUAAUAAAUACAAUAAAAUAAAUAUUAAACAUGAGUAAAAAUAUUAAACCAAAAAUAAAAAUAAAUUCAAUACAAUUUUUUUUUGUUUAAAUAUGAUUAAAAUAUUGCCAAAUAAUUAAAUUAAAAAAAAAAAAUAAAUCAAUAAAUAAAAAUUAUAAAAGUGGUUGAGAUAUUAAAAAAUCAAUAAAUAAAAAUAAAUAUCAAAAAUAAUUAAAAAAAAAAAAUGUUUCACAAUACAAUAAAAAUAAAAUAAAUAUUAAAAAUACAAAAUAACGAUUUGAGAAGAAAAUAAAGAUUUUAAAGUAAAAAUAGUAAAUUCAAUAGAAAAAUCUCAUGAAUCUGUUUUGCUAAAGCGCGCAUCCAAAAAUAGUUGCCAAAAUUGUUUUGCUUAUGAAUUAUUGAUUGUUUAUUAAAUAUUAUUAGUUUUUACAUCUUCUUUUUUUUUAUUAUUAUUGUAAAUGAGUAGUAGCCGUUGCUAAUAAAAAAAUGAAUAUUGUAUCGAAUUAAAAAUAACUGCCCUAUAAACCAAUUAUGAAAAUAAUUAUACCGCCAUAAUUCUAAUUAAAUUUUGAAAAAAUGGUUUUGUUUUUGGU
Molecule: long non-coding RNA, 2489 nt
Organism: Drosophila albomicans
Lineage: Eukaryota; Metazoa; Arthropoda; Insecta; Diptera; Drosophilidae
Exons: 2
Source: RefSeq, a predicted model, not a curated record